RNAcentral lists this ribosomal RNA (255 nucleotides) under Escherichia coli. RNAcentral describes it as "partial 23S ribosomal RNA". It matches the Rfam family "Bacterial large subunit ribosomal RNA", at positions 448 to 705 of the family's 2925-position model. The record is from RNAcentral. Lineage: Bacteria; Pseudomonadati; Pseudomonadota; Gammaproteobacteria; Enterobacterales; Enterobacteriaceae.
GGGGACCAUCCUCCAAGGCUAAAUACUCCUGACUGACCGAUAGUGAACCAGUACCGUGAGGGAAAGGCGAAAAGAACCCCGGCGAGGGGAGUGAAAAAGAACCUGAAACCGUGUACGUACAAGCAGUAGGAGCCUCUUUUAUGGGGUGACUGCGUACCUUUUGUAUAAUGGGUCAGCGACUUAUAUUCUGUAGCAAGGUUAACCGAAUAGGGGAGCCGAAGGGAAACCGAGUCUUAACUGGGCGUUAAGUUGCAG